RNAcentral lists this ribosomal RNA (403 nucleotides) under Verrucomicrobiota bacterium. Its description in RNAcentral is "Verrucomicrobia bacterium partial 16S ribosomal RNA". It matches the Rfam family "Bacterial small subunit ribosomal RNA", at positions 355 to 776 of the family's 1533-position model. Lineage: Bacteria; Pseudomonadati; Verrucomicrobiota. The record is from RNAcentral.
UGGGGAAUAUUGCACAAUGGAGGGAACUCUGAUGCAGCGACGCCGCGUGAGCGAAGAAGGUUUUCGAAUCGUAAAGCUCUGUCCUAUGAGAAGAUAAUGACGGUAUCAUAGGAGGAAGCCCCGGCUAAAUACGUGCCAGCAGCCGCGGUAAUACGUAUGGGGCGAGCGUUGUCCGGAAUUAUUGGGCGUAAAGGGUACGUAGGCGGUCUAUUAAGUCAGGUGUGAAAGCGUGAGGCUUAACCUCAUUAAGCACUUGAAACUGAUAGACUUGAGUGAAGGAGAGGAAAGUGGAAUUCCUAGUGUAGCGGUGAAAUGCGUAGAUAUUAGGAGGAAUACCGGUGGCGAAGGCGACUUUCUGGACUUUUACUGACGCUCAGGUACGAAAGCGUGGGGAGCAAACAGG